GCGGGACUUCUGUUAGGGCGGGGUCUGCGUCUGCUGGACCUAAAGAGGGGAGGGGCGAGAGGCAGAAGGCGGGCCCGGGUCUAGAAGCGCUGGAGCUCUGAGAACCUAGGCUUCAGGGCAAGGCCAGCGUUCGCGUAGCCGAAGAGGGACCACCAACCCCGCUUCCUGCCAAAUGAAGUGUGCUUUGUAAUCCUCUGGAUCCUUCCAGCAGAAAGAGGCUGUAACCCACACACACUCCAGAAAGAAUCCACUAAAGCGUUUGGCACAUUAUGUUAACGCAACAUAAUUCUUUGUGUGAGCGUCUACACACGUGGAGCUUCGAGGACAACGUCAGGUGUUAUUCUUAUGCCUCCACGUGCAUAAAGGCAUAAUUCCCCCAAUAAUGCCGCUGUGGGAACCUACACCGAAAGGACUUACUGGGCUGGCAGUCAUUUUUGAAAGCCUAGAAACCUGAGUUCAAGUCCCAGGACCUACAUAAAGGUGGGAGGAGAGAUCUGACCCUCAUAAUCUGUCCUCUGACUUCCACAUACUAAAAUAAAGUGUGUAUGUGUGUGUG
Long non-coding RNA from Meriones unguiculatus (Mongolian gerbil), 556 nucleotides. RefSeq lists it as uncharacterized. The record is from RefSeq and is a predicted model, not a curated record. NCBI's taxonomy places the organism in Eukaryota, Metazoa, Chordata, Mammalia, Rodentia, Muridae. The transcript has 2 exons.